GCUUACGGCCAUACUACCUUAGGCACGCCCGGUCUCGUCUGAUCUCGGAAGCUAAGCAGGGUCGGGCCUGGUUAGUACUUGGAUGGGUGACCGCCUGGGAAUACCAGGUGCUGUAAGCA
Gadus morhua (Atlantic cod) is the source of this 119-nucleotide ribosomal RNA. The record is from Ensembl. NCBI's taxonomy places the organism in Eukaryota, Metazoa, Chordata, Actinopteri, Gadiformes, Gadidae.